UACGGGGGGGACGAGCGUUGUUCGGAUUUACUGGGCGUAAAGGGCGCGUAGGCGGGUCUUCAAGUCGGAUGUGAAAACUACCAGCUUAACUGGUAGCCUGCAUUUGAUACUGUUGAUCUUGAGUACGGGAGAGGAGAGUGGAAUUCCAGGUGUAGCGGUGAAAUGCGUAGAUAUCUGGAAGAACACCAGUAGCGAAGGCGGCUCUCUGGACCGAUACUGACGCUCAAGCGCGAAGGCUUGGGGAGCAAAC
RNAcentral lists this ribosomal RNA (250 nucleotides) under uncultured bacterium. RNAcentral describes it as "partial 16S ribosomal RNA". It matches the Rfam family "Bacterial small subunit ribosomal RNA", at positions 524 to 773 of the family's 1533-position model. The record is from RNAcentral.